ACACACAGAAAGAGUUGUGAUCCCUCCGUGUCCUUGAGAGGAUAUUCUCCCUGCCAGGACAUGAAUGCAGGAAGCUCUCUGCUCUCCCAAUGAACCUUUUUAGCUCAACUGCGUUAGGAGACUUCAGCAUUUUAAGCCGAGAGGACUGCACUACCUGCUUGGAACUCCAGAGAGUGCACAGAGACAGCUAGUGACGGUAAAGAUGAUGCUACCAGCUUCCUUGAAGCUCCUAGCGCCACCGACCAGCAUUAGCCUGGCAGCAGCAACGUUUGCGGAAUUUCUGAAUGGAGAAAGCAGGGAAGUCUAACAUACAAGUCAUUAUGGGCCAGGGUCUCCACUGCUCUUAGCACCAAAGAGGACCUAAAAUGGUACAUAAAUCUUUGAUGGACUUCUGCAUUGGGUGGAUUUAUAUGGGAGGCCUCAAAUGAGAUCAGACCCCCAACUGUGCUGUGCACUUGAAAGCCACAGUUUCUGCCUCAAAGAGUGUACAGUCUAAGCAGCCAAAGGAAGCUUCAUUUUACAAAUGAGGAACUGAGACACAGAGACGGGACCAAUGUGUCUGUGGCUCAGGCAAGAAGUGAACCCAGAUCCCCUGUCACAUGUUCUAACUACAGGGCCAACCUGGCUCCCUACACAGCUGUCAAUCCAGCCUUCCUUGGAAAUGUAAACCUAAAUGCCAAGCUGAAGGUUUGCAAAGGAGAAACCUGUGCAUCAAGUGAAACACUUGGAAAGAGCACUGAGUGGGCUGGCUGUAGAAAGC
Molecule: long non-coding RNA, 760 nt
Organism: Dermochelys coriacea (leatherback sea turtle)
Lineage: Eukaryota; Metazoa; Chordata; Testudines; Dermochelyidae
Exons: 3
Source: RefSeq, a predicted model, not a curated record